This 352-nucleotide ribosomal RNA is filed under the name Thalycra sp. MJM-2013. RNAcentral's name for it is "partial 12S ribosomal RNA". The record is from RNAcentral. Lineage: Eukaryota; Metazoa; Arthropoda; Insecta; Coleoptera; Nitidulidae.
UUAGGAAUGUAAUAUGUAUUGACUAAAUUAUUAAUAGUUAUGUUCUUUAAAAUUAAAGAAUUUGGCGGUAUUUUAAUCUAUUCAGAGGAACCUGUCCUAUAAUUGAUGACCCACAAUUUAUUUUACCUACAUUUUUAAUUUGUAUAUCGUCGUAAUUUUAAAUAUUUUAAAAGAAUAAAUAAUAUUUAUAAUUUUUUACAAUAAAAUAAAUCAGAUCAAGGUGCAGUUGAUAUUUAGGUAGAGAUGGGUUACAUUAAAUUUAUUUAUGGAUAAAUAUUUUAAAAGUAUUUUAAAAUUGGAUUUGAAAGUAAUUUUUUAUAAUUUUUAAAAAUGGCUUUAGCUCUAAAAUAUG